AUUUGCCAUUUUUAAAAUUCAAACCCAUGCAUGUCAUUUAGCCUGAAAACAUAAUCAAAACUUGAAAUUUGAAUUUAAUCAAUGUUGGGAAAAAGGGGUUGAUUAAUGAAGGGAAGCGGUGCCUGUUUAAUUAGCAUGAAUGGGCAGGAUUAUUUGAUGAAUCUACUACAUUUCUGAGUUUCUUAUGGCUCAAGCUCGCAAUUAUUUUAUUUAGCACAGAUCGUUAAGACGGUUAUUAUCCUGUGACAUAAUCAUCCCUGCUGCUAUGGAACUGCAAGUGAGAAGUUUACACACUCCUUGUUAACGAUGCCUAGAGUUUACUAUCAGCAUGGAUCAUAUGCUAGGUGGUUAGAGUUCUCCCAUUAUAAUGCCUAGUUAAAAUGCAGGAUAGUCUUCAUGAUUUAGAUUUAAAAACUUAGUUUCAAUGAUUUGGGAAAACUAAGUUGAGCAGGGACUGUCAUUGAGAAGAGGGUACAUGUCUUCACUUAGAAAAAUCUGGAGAGAUUGAGAGCAUAUCUUAAGGCAUGCGAUUUUUGCCUGAACACCAAGUUAAAGUUCUCAUUGGGAGGCCUGUGCGAAAAUAUGAUCUCAUGUGACUGAUGAUAGCAAAUAUACGACAGAGUUUGGUUCCCAAUGGCCACGCUAUGUUCUAAAAUUUUUGAUUCUAUGCAUUAAAGUUUGAGUUAUUAGACCAUUGAAGCGUUGGUAAUUCAAGAAGUAUCUGUAUGGGAGCUACUCUGUCUGUCGGUUCUCGGUUCUCCUGUUAGUUCUGCAGGUCUUUAUGGAGAUUGAGAAAAAGGGAAAUGGGCUUGAUCGAGUGCCUGCUAGAUUCAAAAAUUGGCCAAAGAACUGGUAUAGGGUCAUGCGAAGUGCAUUACUAGAUUAUCUGCUAAUCACAAAAUCAUAGGUACGUUGAGUUCCAUACACAUAUUCUUCUGGCCAUGGCAGUUCUUGCUAUGAAUUAAUGACAACUCACACAUUUUGAAUUCCAAAGCAAAGUUGGGAACAGAUUGAUUAGUGUAUUUGUAGAUAAAAAUAUGUAUCUUUAGACAGUUCUUUCUAAUCCUUUUUAUUUGAUCUCUCGACUAUUCAUUUUCUCUGUAAACAAAGCAAGGCAUCCAGCCUGUUUAAUUUCGCUAUAAUUUCUACAUGUGCUUGAUAUUGUAUUGA
This is a long non-coding RNA of Tripterygium wilfordii, 1170 nucleotides long. RefSeq lists it as uncharacterized. Lineage: Eukaryota; Viridiplantae; Streptophyta; Magnoliopsida; Celastrales; Celastraceae. The record is from RefSeq and is a predicted model, not a curated record. The transcript is spliced from 2 exons.